ACAGGUCUCUUUCUCAGGAAGA
Molecule: microRNA, 22 nt
Filed under: Eisenia fetida (common brandling worm)
Lineage: Eukaryota; Metazoa; Annelida; Clitellata; Crassiclitellata; Lumbricidae
Description: Efe-Mir-10-P3h_3p* (star (passenger))
Source: RNAcentral